AGUCGAACGAGGUCCAUGAAGUAGCAAUACUUCGGAAGACCUAGUGGCGAACGGGUGCGUAACACGUGAGGAACUUGUCCCGGUCUCUGGGAUAACAGUUGGAAACGACUGCUAAUACCGGAUGACGUCGGAGCAUCGCAUGGUGCGCUGACGAAAGGGUUACUGGAUCGGGAGAGCCUCGCGGCCUAUCAGCUUGUUGGUGGGGUAACGGCCUACCAAGGCAUCGACGGGUAGCUGGUCUGAGAGGAUGAUCAGCCACACUGGGACUGAGACACGGCCCAGACUCCUACGGGAGGCAGCAGUGGGGAAUCUUGCGCAAUGGGCGAAAGCCUGACGCAGCAACGCCGCGUGCGGGAAGAAGGCUCUCGGGUUGUAAACCGCUUUCAGCAGGAACGAAAAUGACGGUACUUGUAGAAGAAGGUGCGGCCAACUACGUGCCAGCAGCCGCGGUGACACGUAGGCACCAAGCGUUGUCCGGAUUUAUUGGGCGUAAAGAGCUCGUAGGCGGUUCGGUAAGUCAGGUGUGAAAACUUUGGGCUCAACCCAAAGCCUGCAUCUGAUACUGCUGUGACUAGAGUUCGGUAGGGGAGCGGGGAAUUCCUAGUGUAGCGGUGAAAUGCGCAGAUAUUAGGAGGAACACCGGUGGCGAAGGCGCCGCUCUGGGCCGAUACUGACGCUGAGGAGCGAAAGCGUGGGCAGCAAACAGGAUUAGAUACCCUGGUAGUCCACGCCGUA
Molecule: ribosomal RNA, 735 nt
Filed under: uncultured bacterium
Lineage: Bacteria
Description: bacterial SSU rRNA
Rfam family: Bacterial small subunit ribosomal RNA
Source: RNAcentral